RNAcentral lists this ribosomal RNA (305 nucleotides) under uncultured bacterium. Its description in RNAcentral is "bacterial SSU rRNA". It matches the Rfam family "Bacterial small subunit ribosomal RNA", at positions 333 to 630 of the family's 1533-position model. The record is from RNAcentral.
AUCCACCUACGGGACGCAGCAGUAGGGAAUUUUCCACAAUGGGCGAAAGCCUGAUGGAGCAACGCCGCGUGGGGGAAGAAGGUCUUCGGAUCGUAAAACCCUGUUGUUAGAGAGGAAAGUGCGUGAGAGUAACUGUUCACGUUUCGACGGUAUCUAACCAGAAAGCCACGGCUAACUACGUGCCAGCAGCCGCGGUAAUACGUAGGUGGCAAGCGUAAUCGGGAUUUAUUGGGCGUAAAGGGAACGCAGGCGGUCUUUUAAGUCUGAUGUGAAAGCCUUCGGCUUAACCGGAGUAGGGAAUUGGG